RNAcentral lists this ribosomal RNA (427 nucleotides) under uncultured bacterium. Its description in RNAcentral is "bacterial SSU rRNA". It matches the Rfam family "Bacterial small subunit ribosomal RNA", at positions 355 to 775 of the family's 1533-position model. The record is from RNAcentral.
UGGGGAAUCUUGCGCAAUGGGCGAAAGCCUGGCGCAGCGACGCCGCGUGAGGGAAGAAGGCUUUCGGGUUGUAAACCUCUUUCAGGAGGGACGAAGCUACUCGGGUUAAUAGCCCAGAGGGUGACGGUACCUCCAGAAGAAGCCCCGGCUAACUACGUGCCAGCAGCCGCGGUAAUACGUAGGGGGCAAGCGUUGUCCGGAUUUAUUGGGCGUAAAGAGCGUGUAGGCGGCCAGAUAGGUCCGUUGUGAAAACUCGAGGCUCAACCUCGAGACGCCGAUGGAAACCAUCUGGCUAGAGUCCGGAAGAGGAGAGUGGAAUUCCCGGUGUAGCGGUGAAAUGCGCAGAUAUCGGGGAGGACACCCGUGGCUAAGGCGGCUCUCUAGUACGGUACUGACGCUGAGACGCGAAAGCGUGGGGAGCGAACAG